RNAcentral lists this transfer RNA (85 nucleotides) under Epichloe festucae Fl1. It matches the Rfam family "tRNA". From Rfam's summary of the family: Transfer RNA (tRNA) molecules are approximately 80 nucleotides in length. Their secondary structure includes four short double-helical elements and three loops (D, anti-codon, and T loops). Further hydrogen bonds mediate the characteristic L-shaped molecular structure. tRNAs have two regions of fundamental functional importance: the anti-codon, which is responsible for specific mRNA codon recognition, and the 3' end, to which the tRNAs corresponding amino acid is attached (by aminoacyl-tRNA synthetases). tRNAs cope with the degeneracy of the genetic code in two manners: having more than one tRNA (with a specific anti-codon) for a particular amino acid; and 'wobble' base-pairing, i.e. permitting non-standard base-pairing at the 3rd anti-codon position. The record is from Rfam by way of RNAcentral. Lineage: Eukaryota; Fungi; Ascomycota; Sordariomycetes; Hypocreales; Clavicipitaceae.
GCCCGGUUAGCUCAAUCGGUAGAGCGUGAGACUCUUACGAGUAAUUGGCAUCUCAAGGUUGCGGGUUCGACCCCCGCAUUGGGCU